This 64-nucleotide transfer RNA is filed under the name Erotylidae sp. BMNH 1274392. RNAcentral's name for it is "tRNA-Asp". The record is from RNAcentral. Lineage: Eukaryota; Metazoa; Arthropoda; Insecta; Coleoptera; Erotylidae.
AAAAAUUUAGUUAAAAAAUAACAUUAGUUUGUCAAGCUAAAAUUAUUAGUAAUAAUAAUUUUUA